GAAUCAUUCAUCUCGACCUUCCUGCUCCUUAUAUAAGUGCACCACAUCAUCAGUAACGCAGUGAACGUCUUUAUGGCGGUGAGUUACAUCAGUGCUUAUCGUUUAAUCUCGAUAUCAGUCGGUUUUAUUGGCUCUGAUGCUGUUAUAUUUCUUCCUGAUUUACUCGCUCCUUUUUUUUCCCGCCACCCUCAGGACUUUCACUGUCACUUGACUACGAGCGAGGUGGUGGGUUACCUCGGAGGCCGAUGGGACACUACGACACAGCUGCUGACGGUCUUGCGAGCGUUCCCCGUGUCGCACGCAAUUGGCUGACAGGGAUGCCGCACCCGCCGUGGAGGAAGAGAUUUGUCAGAACCUGUUCAUGAGAGGGCUCUCAUUGGUGGGCUGGUACCACAGUCACCCUCGAGGCCCCGCCCUCCCCGUCGCUGCAGGGACAUCGAUUCGCAGAUGGACCACCAGCUCCGCCUCCAGGGCAGCAGCAACGGCUUCCAGCCCUGCCUGGGCAUCAUCUGUGGACCUUAUUACCAUGGCAACCAAGGUGUGGCGUCGACCAUCACUCCGUUCUGGGUGGUUCCUCCUCCAGAACAAAGGCCGAAUGAUUACGGUAUCCCAGUGGCAGUGGAAGUCACGUACGUGCAAGACAACUUCCUCACUACAGACGUCCUCAAUGAAAUGAUGAUGCUGGUGGAGUUUUAUCGAGCUGCUCCAGACCUGGUCAAUUUUAAUCAGAUGUGGUGUUCUGACACAUCAAUACUGGAGAAAAUGAAGGCGUCCCUGAGUGGCCACGCCCCCAAAGACCAGGCCUACUCUCAAAUCCUGGAGCACGUCUACAACCAGCUGCGCAACAUGCAGUGAUGGAAACAUCGUCUCUGUCUUCUCACUGUGGAUCUGUGUGUGGGAUCAAAGAACAUCCCACUUUGAUCUGACACACACACACACACACACGCGCGCGCGCGCGCGCACCGACGCACUGAGGAACUGAGUGCUUCUGCAUCAUCAUGGCUGGCUCCUUCAUUACAGACAUGAAUAUGUCUUCCAUUUCUGUAGACAGAAUAGCGUGAAUAGGUUAGAAUAGGAAAAAAAGUGUUCUUUCAUAUUUAUCCAGUUGGCGCGCACACACACACACACACACACACACACACAGCCAGGAUGCGCAGUUUACCUCUCAACGAUGUCACACGCAGCUAGUUUACUCAUUGGGAAAAUGCAGCAUCAUACCCUUUUGGUAAAUUGUUAACUUCUGCGCUUAAUAUACCUCAUUUUAUGGCUCAAGCUCCGUUUCCCGGUUCAAUCCUGCGUGGACUUUCACACGGCCUCCCCUUGUCAGCGUGGGUUUCCUCCGGGUUCUCCGGUUUCCUCCCGCUCCCAAAAAAAAAGAACAGGUGGAUUUCCGACUCUAAAUUGCAACUAGAUGUGAACGAGCGCGGGAAUGUAUCCGUGUGCAUGGUGCCCUGAUGUACUGGGGUCCCAUUCGGGGUGUAUUCCUGCUUCGUACGCACUUCGGCUCACCGGGAUAAUAACAUAGGAAGGGCAGAGAGAUUUAAUAAAAUCCUCACGUGCAUUACACUCAACACGCCUGGAUAUCUUCAGGAUCGUUGAGAAGUAAACCGCACCCUGCGCUGGAAAAGAAGACCUACUGAAUAUGCUAAAUAUACACUGGAGCUCUUAUCGGCGAGUUAUAUGAGCCGGAAUUCUCGUCGCUCCCGUUGUUUAGAAAGGAAAACAGACGGACGUUACCCGUCCGUCAGUUUUCCUUUCUAAACAACGGGAGCGACGGGAAUUCCGUCUCAUUUAACUCGCCGAUAAGAGUCGACUCUUUCGGCUCCGAGUUUGUUCUAAAACCAGACGGACACGAGAACCGUAUUUUUCGAGUAAGCUGUAACGCGGAAGACGCAAGUCACGCGUUUCAGUGCUGUCUUUUUCAAAUGAAGGGAAACGACAUCGAAGCGGGUCAGUCCUGGACGUUCACCCAGAAGAGUCAAGUCAAAAACGACACACUAAUUAGAACAGAGAGAGAGAGAGAAACGUUUCUAAAUAAUAAAACACUAGAAAAGGGCAUGUGACGAUAAAGAAAUCUCCAGAUCCGUUCAGUCAUCAUCAUCGAAUUUUGUGUAGCACCACUAGUCCUCCUGUUACCGUGGAAGAGUAACAGAGUCCAGACGUAAAAUCAGAAACAAAGGAGACGGCAGUUAUCGUAUUUAUGAGACCGUGUGUAGAAAAAUGGCCUCCUGUACCCUGUUAAAAUAAAAGUACCAAACUACUUUUCCUUUUGUACGUCUCGUGUGUAUCUUUUACCUGGGAAGGUGCACGUGGUGUACUUUUUAAUUAGCUGUUAAGAGGAAAGCUUUAAAGAUGGAUCAGUCCACUUAUGUAUGGUGUAUUAUUUGUAAAGGUACACUAGAUUAAGACUUUCCACAGCAGGAAAACGUUAUUUCUGAGACGGUCCAGUCGAUGUGUAGCCAGUGACUGCUGGUCCUGAGAGAAUUUUGUCAUCAUUGACUCGAUAAUGAAAUUAGGGUUGAGGUUCAUGAGAAGCCCAUGAGGGCUUUUGUUAUUGUUGUUGUUGUUGUUGUUGUUUUCAGGAACCAGAGACAUGUGGCACAAACUGUCAGAACACACACUUACUAAAACACACAUAGACACAUAAUUGGAUUUGCGCAUCUUAAAUGUGUAAUCAUCUAAAUGUAUUUUGUAGGUAAAUUCUUGCCUAUACGGUGCCCUCCAAUAAUAUUGGCACCCUUGGUAAAUAUGAGCAAAGAAGGCUGUGAGAAAUUGUCUGUAUUGUUGAACCUUUUGAUCGUUUGUUCAAGAAAUGCACAAAAAAAAAAUACUCUCCUCAUGGAUAUCAAACAACUGCAAACACAACACAGGUUUAUCAAAAAACAAACACACACUAAUUCCUUUCUUUAACCUUUUAGAAAUAAACAAAGAAACUCAAAUGAAUCUGCUUGGCUGUUAAACUUUCACUUUUCUACUAUAAUGUAUUCGAGUCAUGAAAUAUCGCAGUAUUUUGUGUAAAGAUUGUGGAGUUUGAAAGGUUGAACCGGUCUUUAUUGACGUUCUAGAGAUCCAGGAAGUCGGGGAAACGCUCCUUACAGGCUAACCAAUAGGAUGCGUCGAAUUCGAUCACGUGAUCUUUUUUCUUUUCUGUAAAGACGUCGCUAAUUGGCGGGCUGAUUUAACCGCUUGGUUUAAAUGGAGCAGUCGCCAUUUUGUUUCUGUUUCAUCACAACGCGUACAGAUUAUUCACGUAAAAAUGGCGCAGGGACGUGAAGAGAGCAAAGAGAAAGAAGCAGAAUGAACAAAACUCUUCGUGUGUUUCCCCCACACCCGGUUCUUCUGGUACUUCACCUCUCUCUUCUGGCUGGAAAGACCACUAAAGGCCAACGGUGUACUCGUGUUAACGCACCUGUUAAUGAGUGUUUUUCAGGUCAUCGCGGUGUUGCCGUGUGGAGAGAGAUGGAGAGAACCUUUUGUUAGUGUUCUGGUAGAACGGGAGUGUGAAGAUCUACGAGACGACGAAGGUUCCAGACUAAAGCGCCGCCGCAUCGCUCUCUCUAUAGGUCGAGAUGACGUGAAGCCCGCACCACUAUCAGCAGGUAGUCGAAUGGCAUCGUGGGUAAUCUAGGAAACUUGUAUGAAAUGAACAGCGCAACAUGCAAGUGAAAGAAGUUUACUCUUCAUCCGAUAUCACCUCGUUCUGUGUGACCCGAGCAUCCGGGUUUGUAACACCCAGCGCUUUUCUUAUAACACACGACACACACUUUACGCACACGUGCAUUUCGUCGUCUCAUGAUUACACACGUGGUCCCAGGGCGAGGUUUUUCCACAUUUAUUUACGUAAAAGACGGGGAGAAAGCAAGUACAAAUAUUCAGGUGUACAGGAUAUUCAGGAAUAACAGGAUAAUCUAGUUAGUUUUUUUUUUUUUUUUCCUUUCAAGACAAACCAGAUUUUUUUAUUUUAUUUAAACAAACUAAAACAUACAUUAGCAAGCUAUCAUAUAGACCUAACAUGCAAAUAAUUAAUUAAAAAAACAGAUGUGUACAUAGAAAAAUAAUAUAAUACUAAAGAAGACUACCGGAAUAAUUUUUUAUUUAUUUUUUAAGUGUGUAAAAUUAUUCUGGCACUCUGGUGGAUUAGAUGGAAAAAUAACUCCUUUAUUUUACCAACUGUAGUGUUGCUGCGAAGGCACAUAUGUACUCAUGCUUGUACGUCUGUACACGGCUCAUGCCGAAGCCAGAAACACACCGAGCCCUUUUUAAAAAACAAACAAAAAAAAACAAACGGUACGAGGGGACGGAAAGAAAACACGGUGCCGAUGGGAAUCCGUUUGGUGUCCUAGCUUUCUCGUUCGCGGCGUCCUCGAGGCACGCGGGCCGGCUCGUCGUUCUCCAUCUUCGUUUUAUGUUGAAUAGGAAGUUCUCUCUCACACACACACGUGUGCACACACACACUGUAAACAAGGCAGUGAAAAUGUUAACAUUACCCGAGCAAGUGAUUUUAAAAACGAAGGACUCCAGCAUGCGAGACGCGUCGAGGUCGAGGCUCAAAACUUUUGCCGCCUGCGUCGUGAGAUGACGCGCGUCACGUUAUCAUACACACUUUAACACACGCAUCCAAAGCCUGAAAAUCGUGGUACUCCUCUCAUUGUGUGUGUACAGAAGCCCUGAUCCUGGAGAUCCAUUCCAUUAUUUUCACUCGAUAUCUGUCUAUAUUUCGACACCCUCACUCAGCCUUGUGCGAUGUUGUUUUUUUUUUUUUUUUAGACCCGAACGUACGUACGGUGAUGGAAUUCACUUCGUAUCAAUGACCUCGAACUAUUCGUUUACUGCGUCAGAGAGAGGGCGACCGGUCGCGAGCACCACGGGACGAGAUGGGAGGGGGCGGGGCUUCCCGGCGGUGUCACUGUUCAUAACGGAAAGUUUAAAGGAGUCGCGGCGUGAUUUUCCUGACAUACGAGGAGGUUGUUCCAUUAAGACGUCACUCGGGUUUCACGGCGUGAUGCGUCCUCCUCGGUUCAAAAAGAGCGUUUAUUUAACCGAGCGGCAAAAAAAAACGGCUCGUUUGGAUGUGGCGGGAUUUGUGACGUCACACGGGCAAAUAACAUUCGCAUACCGACUGCCCCUUGCAGCGAGAUAUCGACACCUACUUUUAAAUCAUCACACCGUCGGCCCUGCCCACUGGCGCGGAAAAGUUAUUUGUGUGUGUAUGUGGGAGGGAGGGGUGGGGCUGGGGGGGGGGGGGGGGGGACACUGCCUGCAGUAUCAUCUACACAGAUUACAGAAGCUCAAACCAGGCAACACGUUAAAGCCUAACACAUCCUGUACACUGCGAUAGCGCAAAGCGGUUUGGCCGUUUUCCUGCAUGCGCGCGGUCACGUUCUCUCUCAGCUCACUGCAGUGCGGUGGUGAUCUUCCUCGCAAUAAAAGACGAUUCCGUUUCACUUAUUUCCCAGGAGACGGGGUGGUGUAGUGUUUUUAACUGUUCACGUAGUGUACACGGGUUAUAUUGUACAGAAACGACAAGUUCUGUAAACAUGUUUCUCAUCAAUCCCUCGCUGUGGCUGAGCUGCACGGUUAGUGUUUUUUUUCCUCCUCUAACACACCGCACACUUCCUUCAUCACCUUAAUGAGGCGAAUCAGUGUGUCAAGAUGGGCGUAUCUUCCAGACUAUAAUCGCACAACAAUAUCAGACUGUGUGUGUGUGUGUGUUGGUUGGUUAAGUCGCAUAUGUUUUUACUUUGCGUAAGCGCUGCCUCUGAAACAGCACUUCAGCGCCCUCUACAGGUGCGGUCUAGUUUAGUGUUUGUCCUGUGAGUGUCGCUGUGACGCCGCGCUGAAUUUUCAUUCUUGUUUAUUAGCCUUGAGGUGAAUCCUGAAAAAUCAACGGUAGUUUAGUGUUCGGAAUUUUAAAAGAAAUUUUGUAUGCAGAAUUCAGGAGACGAAAAAGAUCAAACUAACUAAUCUAACUAAAGCCGGACUGUCGAAACCUAAAUAUAUUAGUUUGGUUAGUGCAUGAGUUCUAACACACUUAUA
Long non-coding RNA from Ictalurus punctatus (channel catfish), 6036 nucleotides. The record is from Ensembl. NCBI's taxonomy places the organism in Eukaryota, Metazoa, Chordata, Actinopteri, Siluriformes, Ictaluridae.